AUUCUACAAUCCCACGCAUCUACUGAUUCCGUGAAGUCGUCAACAAAUACUUCAAAAUGAAGAGACAUGCUGCUACACCUAUCACUUCAUUUUUUUCCAAAAGGAGCAGAGAAGAGUCUGAGGGAGAGUCACACUCAAGUGCAGAUAUAGGUUCGCCAUCACAAAACUGUGUAACAGAAGACCCUUGUGGGGCCCAGAUGCUUCUGGUAAUCAGUGGUGACCAUUAAUAGUUGAAUUAAGUUAAGUGACCAUUGAUAAUCUAGCGGAAAGAGUUAUAUGUCGUUGUGCACAAGUGUUUCAGUUUGCGUUUGCAAACUCUGCCACUAUUCAAACUGAUGGCUGGGCUGCUGACUGGUUGCUUCUCUUGAUCCACUGCACGACUCGAUGAUGGACUAGACUUACAACCUACUGCUCGUGUCCUCUCUUAUCAUCUUCAGUUGCUAGAGAGAAACAAUCACAAUAAUAAUUCAACUGCCGCUUUGUGUAACUAGAAACAUUAAGAGACAACCAACCUUUGUAUUUAAGACAGACUCAUCUACAUUAGAUUCAUUUGAGAACUGACACUUGAUGUCUCCCAUAAUACAUUUGCAAGACGUUUUAGCUUA
Corticium candelabrum is the source of this 605-nucleotide long non-coding RNA. RefSeq lists it as uncharacterized. The transcript is spliced from 3 exons. Lineage: Eukaryota; Metazoa; Porifera; Homoscleromorpha; Homosclerophorida; Plakinidae. The record is from RefSeq and is a predicted model, not a curated record.